RNAcentral lists this ribosomal RNA (449 nucleotides) under uncultured bacterium. Its description in RNAcentral is "partial 16S ribosomal RNA". It matches the Rfam family "Bacterial small subunit ribosomal RNA", at positions 338 to 795 of the family's 1533-position model. The record is from RNAcentral.
CCUACGGGGGGCAGUAGUGGGGAAUUUUGGACAAUGGGGGCAACCCUGAUCCAGCCAUGCCGCGUGAGUGAAGAAGGCCUUCGGGUUGUAAAGCUCUUUCGGCCGGGAAGAAAUCGCUCAAUCUAAUACCUUGGGUGGAUGACGGUACCGGAAGAAGAAGCACCGGCUAACUACGUGCCAGCAGCCGCGGUAAUACGUAGGGUACUAGCGUUCAUCGGAAUUGCUCGGCGGAAGGCGUGCGCAAGAUGCGAAAUCCCCGGGCUUAACCUGGGAACUGCGGUUGUGACUGUGGUGCUCGAGUGCGGCAGAGGGGGGUGGAAUUCCACGUGUAGCAGUGAAAUGCGUAGAGAUGUGGAGGAACACCGAUGGCGAAGGCAGCCCCCUGGGUCGACACUGACGCUCAUGCACGAAAGCGUGGGGAGCAAACAGGAUUAGAUACCCUGGUAGUC